Molecule: ribosomal RNA, 497 nt
Filed under: uncultured bacterium
Lineage: Bacteria
Description: partial 16S ribosomal RNA
Rfam family: Bacterial small subunit ribosomal RNA
Source: RNAcentral
GAUGAACGCUGGCGGCGUGCCUAAUACAUGCAAGUCGAGCGAACAGAUAAGGAGCUUGCUCCUUUGACGUUCGCGGCGGACAGGUGAGUAACACGUGUGUAACCUACCUAUACGACUGGAAUAACUCCGGGAAACCGGGGCUCAUGCAGGAUAACAUGUUGAACCGCAUGGUUCUUCCGUGAAAGGCGGCUUUGCUGUCACUUAUAGCUUGACCCGCGCCGUAUUAGCUAGUUGGUGAGGUAACGGCUCACCAAGGCAACGAUACGUAGCCGACCUGAGAGGGUGAUCGGCCACACUGGAACGGAGACACGGUCCAGACUCCUACGGGAGGCAGCAGUAGGGAAUCGUCCGCAAUGGGCGGAAGCCUGACGGAGCAACGCCGCGUGAGGGAUGAAGAGCUUCGGAUCGUAAAACUCUGUUAUUAGGGAAGAACAAAUGCGUAAGUAACUGUGCGCGUCUUGACGGUACCUAAUCAGAAAGCCACGGCUAACUACGUG